Molecule: ribosomal RNA, 484 nt
Filed under: uncultured bacterium
Lineage: Bacteria
Description: bacterial SSU rRNA
Rfam family: Bacterial small subunit ribosomal RNA
Source: RNAcentral
UUUCGCAAUGCCCGAAAGGGUGACGAAGCGACGCCGCGUGCGGGAAGAAGGCCUUCGGGUUGUAAACCGCUGUCGGGAGUUAAGAAAUGUAAGGAUGUUAAUAGCAUCUUUGCUUGACUAAGGCUCCGGAGGAAGCCACGGCUAACUCUGUGCCAGCAGCCGCGGUAAUACAGAGGCGGCAAGCGUUGUUCGGAAUUAUUGGGCGUAAAGAGCACGUAGGCGGCUAUGUAAGUCGGUUGUGAAAGCCUUCCGCUCAACGAGAGAACAGCAUCCGAUACUGCAUGGCUUGAGUGCGGGAGGGGAGAGUGGAACUUCUGGUGGAGCGGUGAAAUGCGUAGAUAUCAGAAGGAACGCCGGCGGCGAAAGCGGCUCUCUGGCCCAUAACUGACGCUGAGUGUGCGAAAGCUAGGGGAGCAAACGGGAUUAGAUACCCCGGUAGUCCUAGCCGUAAACGAUGGGCACUAAGUAGAGGGGUUUUAAUCUC